UGAACGCCAUCGUUACACCCUUGGUAAUUGGGUUGGCCUUUGGAUUGGGUCUACUGCUUGUUGAAAACGCGAGCGGUCUAGCUCUUCUCGAAAGAACUAGAUACACGGUCGGUCUCUUUGGAAGGCGAAUACCCGUAACUCACGGUCCCAACGAACAGACAACGAAGAGAGCGAGUGCUUCCACGACCAGUGAUCCAUUUCGCACCACAACCACGACCACCGCCACCGUCACCGUCACCGAGACCGCCACCAAAGCCGCUGCUCUCAACAGCAGUUCUCCUAAGCCCAAAGAGGGGACUGUCAAGAUAUUGCAUCUUCAUGAUCAACUUAUGCCCUUACUCACAAAUCUCACAAUGGUAGGAAUUUGCUGAGGGUCGUAGAUUUCCAAGAUGAUAGCAGGUUUUCAAUUGUUUUAUUUACAGGAAGAUCGCCUAGAGUAUUAUGUAAACUGUGUAUCGUACGGAAAGCCUUGCGCCGCAGCCGAGAAUUGUUGUAACAAAAAAUGUCUCUCUGACACAAAGAAGUGUUGGCAUAUCUAGUAAGGAUCUCAUUUGGCGUUGUAACCAACAAAUACAAUUAAAGUGAAAUAAACACUUUUCCAGGC
This 604-nucleotide long non-coding RNA is filed under the name Drosophila guanche. Lineage: Eukaryota; Metazoa; Arthropoda; Insecta; Diptera; Drosophilidae. The record is from RNAcentral.